UACCAGCACCCCGAGUGGUCGGGACGAUUAUUGGGCCUAAAGCAUCCGUAGCCGGUCAUGCAAGUCUUCCGUUAAAUCCAACUGCUUAACAGGUGGGCUGCGGAAGAUACUAUAGAGCUAGGAGGCGGGAGAGGCAAGCGGUACUCGAUGGGUAGGGGUAAAAUCCGUUGAUCCAUUGAAGACCACCAGUGGCGAAGGCGGCUUGCCAGAACGCGCUCGACGGUGAGGGAUGAAAGCUGGGGGAGCAAACCGG
This 253-nucleotide ribosomal RNA is filed under the name uncultured bacterium. RNAcentral's name for it is "partial 16S ribosomal RNA". It matches the Rfam family "Archaeal small subunit ribosomal RNA", at positions 474 to 727 of the family's 1478-position model. The record is from RNAcentral.